RNAcentral lists this ribosomal RNA (335 nucleotides) under uncultured microorganism. RNAcentral's name for it is "bacterial SSU rRNA". It matches the Rfam family "Bacterial small subunit ribosomal RNA", at positions 9 to 340 of the family's 1533-position model. The record is from RNAcentral.
GAGUUUGAUCCUGGCUCAGAUUGAACGCUGGCGGCAUGCCUUACACAUGCAAGUCGAACGGCAGCAUGAUCUAGCUUGCUAGAUUGAUGGCGAGUGGCGAACGGGUGAGUAAUACAUCGGAACGUGCCCUGUAGUGGGGAUAACUAGUCGAAAGAUUAGCUAAUACCGCAUACGACCUGAGGGUGAAAGUGGGGGACCGCAAGGCCUCGAUGCUAUAGGAGCGGCCGAUGUCUGAUUAGCUAGUUGGUGGGGUGAAGGCCCACCAAGGCGACGAUCAGUAGCUGGUCUGAGAGGACGAUCAGCCACACUGGGACUGAGACACGGCCCAGACUCCU